GAAAAGGGUAUUGUUGUGUUGCCAUAUUUGUGUGUCCUUAUUAUUAGGCUAAAAUGAUAUCAGAGUCUAGCAGACAUAGUCUCUAUCCCUUAGUCUGUUAGGGUUUAUCCUAUUAUCCGUUGCCAAUUUUUUCACUACUUUGUUGCAAGCCUUUUCAUUGCUUUGCUACAACUUUACUUUUUUGUUUUGACUCCUUUAAAAGCUUUUUCAUUACUUUGCUGCAAGCUUUUUUUUGAUUCAUACUUUACUCAUUGACAAGUUUUUUCAUUACUGAUUUAUUGCAAGAUUUCCAUUUUUUCUUUUGAUUCUUACUUUACUCCUUCUCUAUAGUAAUAUUUUCUUGAUAUUUAAGCAUGUCAACUUUUUGUAGCACUGGAUCUGCUACUAAAGCAACUGGAUCUGACCCUCAUGGGUCUUCGUCCACUCUUCUUACAUCUCCAUUGUUCUCCACUAAGAAGGUGAGUCUUCCACUCAAGAAAGAUAACUACCUAUUAUGAAAACAAUAAACUUCACUCACAAUUAGGAGUCACAAUCUCCACUACCACUUGAAUGACUCUUAUGUUAUUCCUCAAGCCACCAUUGUUGAGGCUGGAAAAGAGUUCCCAAAUCCUAAGUUCCUUACAUACAAGCAGCAAGAUAGUGCUCUUGUAACUUGGUUACUCACUUCAGUCAGUCUGAAUAUCCUCUCUUCCCUUGUUCGAUUAAUAACCUCUACUACCAUUUGGAAGACACUCACCCAGAUCUUUGAUAGACCACCACUAGAAUUAUGCAUCUUUACAACAUUCUUAACGGACAACGUAAUGGCAACAAAAGUAUGUUUGAAUAUCUCUCUAGCAUCAAAUCUCUUUGUGACUCACUGGAAAGUUGUGGUGAACGAGUUUCUAAUUCGGUUCACCUUGCUACUAUUCUUACUGGACUUACCCCAAAGUAUGAUCAAGUGAUUUAUUUAAUUACCGCUAGUCAACAUCUUUUUACUAUUAAACAGUUGACUAGCAUGCUACUUGAUGCAGAAGCUCGACAAUAAGACAAUAUUAUUCAUCUCUCUACCGCUGUUAACCUUGUCACUACUAGGCAACUCCUAUUUCUGCAACACCCUCACUUCAUAGUCUACUUCUUUAUCAGCCUCCAAGUUACCAUAGUUCUCCAUGACCUACUGCACAUUCUCUUUUCUAAGGAAGAGGUCGUGGGAGAGGACUAGGCAUCAAUGUCAGUUAUGUGGGAGAUAAGGACAUCUUGUUAAUUGAUGCUUGUAUAGAUUUGACCUUAGCUUCACUGGUCCUAUUCCUGCCUAGCCUUUGCCUCCACCACAGUUUUAACUACCUUCACAUUCUUAUCCUUCUCCUUACUACAAACCAAGAACUUCUCCAUUCAAUUCCUCUUUUGGCACCCCACACAAGUAUAUUCACCACUUAGAUUCACCUACCCUCAGAUCUCCACCCAACCUCCAUUAAUUCUCAACAAUUUUUCUAGUUCUCAAAAUUACUAUAGCAAUGGAUUUUCAACCUCACAUAUCACUCCAAAGGCUCACAUAGUCACUUCUGAAAUAGUCAAUGACUGUGCUUGGUACCCAAACUCUGGAGCCACUCACCAUAUUACUAAUGAUCCAACCAAUGUGAACAAUGCCUCCCACUACACAGACUCAGGCAGUAUUAUAGUAGGGAAGAGAAAGUUGAAUUUGUCAAUGGAACCUACAACAAGGAGUCGUAUAGAGAAGAGCUUCAUGAGCAGUGGGAAACAUGUAAUGCAAUUUUGCUUUCCUGGAUCAUGAACACUGUGAGUGAAAGUCUGUUAUCUGGAAUUGUUUAUGCCACGAAUGCUUGUGUAGUUUGGGAAGAUUUGAAAGAAAGAUAUAACAAGGUGAAUCAUAUGCAAAUCGAGCUUUCCAGGAGAAAUUGUUGAUUCCAGAUGCUAUAGUAAAGCAGAUCAUACAAAAGAUUCAUGUUCAAUAAAGCACCAGGUCAUAUCAUUAGACGACUAUAUACUAUUGAACCAUGCACUCCAACUCCCUAAAUAGGAAUAGCUCAUUUUUUAUAUAAUUUGUUGUCAAUCAUGUGUGACAGUUAAUAGCCGACAGAUGUAUAAUAUUUGUAUUAGCGUGUGUAUUAAAAUUACGUAUAGUUCAUGAUUUUCAGGUGAAGGAUAUUCAACUGACCAACCCUUCGAUGAUAAGAUGAUAUAUAAUAUCAUAGAGAAGGGUAGAAACCUUUGUUUCUUAGAGAAUGACAUAAUGUUUUUUCUCUUUAGCCAAAUAAUCCAUAUGGGAAAACAAAGAAAUCUUAUCAUUUUCCACUUCAAUUUAUUCUCAAUGAAACCAACAUUUGAGUUUUC
This is a long non-coding RNA of Capsicum annuum, 2328 nucleotides long. RefSeq lists it as uncharacterized. The record is from RefSeq and is a predicted model, not a curated record. NCBI's taxonomy places the organism in Eukaryota, Viridiplantae, Streptophyta, Magnoliopsida, Solanales, Solanaceae. The transcript has 2 exons.